CAUUAAAACAUAAUUACAAUUCGUUUGGGUUUUUAUUAUAUAUGGGCUUCAUGUUUUACGUAUAACCCCAAUUAUAUUUCCUUCUUCCGUCUGCGUUAAGACGACGUCACCGUCGCGUCGAUCCAAGUACAGGCCACCGCCUCUUACCAGAAAAGGUGUAACGUUCUAGGCUUUCAUUCAAUCUCCGUGAUUUACGUUCCCAAUCACCUUCAUUAACUCCCAUUCAGUAGCACCUUCACCCUCCUCGAUGGUUACAAAACUUAUCCUAUAAAUAAGGAGGUAAGCUUCUCCUAAAUUCACCAAUCAUCACCUCUCACCCUCAAUCAUCAUAAUACUUUGCUUAAGUAUGAAGAUUUCUUCAUGGAGAUUCUGAUAUCGCUAUGGAGUUUCGAGCUGUUGAUACACUUUGUGAAUCUUCAAUCCCGACGUUUUGUCUUCUUUUCUAAUCAACAAAAACUUAUAAGGAGAGCUAUUCAAGACGAAUUGCGAUGAAUCUGAUGAUGAUUCCUUGGAUCGAGAAGUCUUGGUGUCGUUUCAUCUCAUGUUCUUCUCCCCAGAACCCUUACGCAAUGAAAUGAUUGUCUUUCACUAACGACCCAUCUUAUGCACACACACAAAAAAAAAAUCUCUACUCUGUUUGAUGUUGGCUAUCUGAGUCAGACUUUGCUUAAUAGUUUGAUGUAUGAUUAAUGAGAAAGCCAGGGUCUGCUUCCCAAGAUAGAAGAGGCGGGUUUGAUUACAGAAAAGAUGAAAUUAACCAGACACAUGAAAAGGUGAUUAGAGCUUCAGAGACACUUGACUCAUGCAACUUGAUAGGAAAGCUUGGAGAUUGGGACUAGCAGAAGAGGUAACAGCAGGCUCUCAUGACGUCUCUGAUGCUGUGGAAACAUGACCAAAGAUACAAGAUAUCUUUCAGAUCCACACAAAGCCCGAUCGCAAACAUGAUAUGUUUUCACGAUCGGAGGCACUGCUAUAUCUUGGCGUUCUCAGAAACAAACGCUCGUGGCUACUUCUUCAAAUCAUGCUGAGAUCAUUGCACUCCAUGAAGCUAGUAGAGAAUGUGUAUGGCUAAGAUCAAUAAGCCGACACAUCUGUUCAAGCAGUGGGAUUGACGAAAAUAUAGAGCCAACUAUUCUAUAUGAAGAUAAUGCGGCAUGUGUAGCUCAAACAAAGGAAAAAUAUAUCAAAAAGAAUAUAUCAAAAGCGAUAGAACGAAACAUAUUCAUCCGAAGUUCUUCUCAUACACCCAAGAGCUCGAGAAAAAGAAAGAGAUUGAAGUAAAAUAUGUCCGAUCAUGCGACAAUGCAGCCGACCUCUUCACAAAAUCACUUCAUACCUCAGUAUUUAGAAAACAUGUCCAUAACAUUAGAAUGCGUCAUCAAAAGGAUUUAUGACUGCUAAUUCGAGGGGGAGUUUACAUGGUUGUACUCUUUUUUAUCUAACUACGGUUUUUUCCAUUGGAUUUUCCUAGAAAUGUUUUUAACGAGGCAACAAAGACGUUAAACAAGAAAGAAUAGUGACA
This is a long non-coding RNA of Brassica napus (rape), 1522 nucleotides long. RefSeq lists it as uncharacterized. The record is from RefSeq and is a predicted model, not a curated record. The transcript is spliced from 4 exons. NCBI's taxonomy places the organism in Eukaryota, Viridiplantae, Streptophyta, Magnoliopsida, Brassicales, Brassicaceae.